This 10175-nucleotide long non-coding RNA is filed under the name Aquilegia coerulea. RNAcentral describes it as "long non-coding RNA (ACOE_LNC001789)". The record is from RNAcentral. Lineage: Eukaryota; Viridiplantae; Streptophyta; Magnoliopsida; Ranunculales; Ranunculaceae.
CAAUUUUUGCAACAACAUAUCAAGAGAAGGAAAAUAUUCAUCCAAUCCAUUGCCCGCUCCUUGACCUACCAAAAAUUAGCAUGAAUUAUGGUUAUCUAACAAAAUAAAGUGUAGCUUCUAAUGCCUACAAAACAGAAAGACUGAAUCCAAUCAAUUGGCAUAAACACCAUAACUACAUGAGCUGAGUUACCUAGAGAAAUAGUAAUUUCUUCCACUAAAAAUUAUCCUACAUGAUGAAUCUACGUACAAUAUUGGUAAAAUUGCAUUGUAUCGCACAUACAAUCAAGUGCAACCUAGGUUGGAUUCUAUCAAUUAAAGACUUGAACAAAAGUUAUUGGUCUUGUGGUUCAAGUACAAACAAAUGUGUCAAGUAAUUAGAUUAUGAUAACUAUUGCAGUUUAUAAACUGCAACGUGUAGUUGUGAAAAUAAUGUGAAGGAGGACCCAACCUCUUUCUCUGUAUUUUGAUUGAGCUUUCUAUCAUUUUUCAUUAUCUCUGUGAAUAAUGCCCUCUGCUUUCCUUGAAUCCAAAUUUCAGGAACCAAACUCAGUCUCAAUGUUUCAUCAAAUAAAUAACCAAAGCUUAAACUCCUACCGUCUUUCGGCAGAAAUAAAAACUAAUUAACAAAUUAAUGCACAACUUAAUACUCGACAAUUGAUAAACAAUUAUAUAAAAACAAAAGACUGGCCUAUCAGAAUCAAAAUAUUUGUAUAUAUACCUACAUACAUGGGAGUAUUGACAGAACGACAAAAUUAAAAAAUUUGAUGGACUAUUAUUUCUGAAUGAGCAUUCAGUCUUGCUCACCAUUGAAACUGUGGCUUAAGGUCUUACAAAUAUAAAUACGUAAAAUUAUUAUGAGUUCAAAUACAAAAUCAAGAAAAUAGACUUUUAUAUGAUGCUCUACUCAACUGGGGCUCUUUAUGUAAGUCCAUUUUCUUAAACAAAAAAAAAAAAAAAAACAAACAUUGAGAAGAUGAUUGAUAUAGCUGGAAUGGAUACAGACUCUUCAAAAUAUAUACAUAUAUGUCUGGAAGUAAAACCUUCAGUGGGAAAAGGUGUUGAUGCAGCAGAAGGAAUGAAACCAUUUGAAUCCAAAAAUUUACAUGGUUUUGGCUCUACCAGUCAUAUGAAAUUUACAUGAUUGGUUUUGGUUAAACCAAUCAUAUGAAACAAAAUAAAUUGAAAUAGAGGGUGUCAUAAUCUUUCUUUCAAUAAAUAUCACCCAAAUCAUCUGCCAGCCAUGCCAUGUCACAUGGCACUCCAUCCCUUAACUCACCCGUUAAUCCUUACACAAAAACUUAGUGUGUCCCUUUACUGAUGCAUAAUGCAAACAUAUUAACUCUAACAAAACUUCUAUUAGAAAAAAUUAACUAUACACGUUUCAACCUAUAACACAGUUCUACUAAUGAACUGCUAUAAAAAUAAAUAUAGCAAUGAAAAAUAAUUGUGUAAUGGUUGUGGUUUAUUGGCAGCAAUUAUAAGUUUUGUCAUACUCAAAUCUAUUAUAUUCUCUCGUACUAUUAUUAAUUUAUUCUUACAAUCAAGUCCCCUGCCUAGUGUUUGGCCACGAUGUUAUCUACUUAUCCAAUAUGUACAUCACAGUUUUGUGAAGAACUCAUUGAACAUAACCCACAGAAAAGAGUUACCGGUUACGCACUAGAGUCUAGUAUUAGAAAAAUUCUGGUUAUAAUGGGAGUCAGCAAUAUUCAGCUGAAUCAAGUGCAUGCAAAAGGUUAUAUGGUACUUUGGCAUCAUUGCUUUGGUUUUUAGUUUUGGACGAACGAGGAGAGUCUCCUCGAAAAAAUAUUAACUGAAACUAAAAGUUGGUUGUUACAAGAAAAAGGCUAACAAGUACAACAGCAGGGCAGUAUGUAAAAGUAUGCAUCUUAGGUUCCUUUGUUUGUAGGGCAAAUGAUUAAAAAUUCCAACACAAUACACAAACUCACUCUCUAGCUAGGCGCCUGAUUCAUGUAAACCUCAAAAACAUAUCCCUAUUAAUCAGCUAAUGUAGAUUAACAAGACAAAAUUAUAACUAACCAGAAAAACAAAAACCCAAUACUGUAGGCAUGCUAUUCUACAAAAUUACCCUUCACUUAAUUCCAAAUUUACCCUCCAUUUAAUCUAAUAAAUGUUAUGGGGCAUAUAUGUGUAAACUGGUCUGGCCCAUCUAUAUUCUAUAUGUAUGUUUUAUAACGGAUGCAGUGAAAGUCAAGAAGACAUAGUUGAAUAUUUUAGCUAAUGAGGGAUUAAAGCUGUAGUUAUUGAUUUAUGAGAUGAACACUAUUACAAAGUAUUUCUCUCAUCAACCCCAUUACAAUUUCCCUACCUUUACAAUUUAGUUUCAUAAAAAAGAUUGACCCCUUAGCUGAUUACACAGUAGUCCAGAUAAAUUUCGGAACACAAGAAAUUCAUAGGUUGAAAGCAUAAGUUGAAAAAGACUAAUAAUCAACAACAAUACUUAAGGAUGAUAUGAUAGGUAGAAAUAGAGUCAAAUAGGUCGUACAGGGGAUAGUACGCUCAGCCUAGCUAAGGGAUGCAUGUAACAAAUUUUGUUAUUCAAGUCACGUUUAAUUGAGUCCAUAACGCAAAUUUGCAAGAAUUAACUGCAUUGAUUGAUAGCUAUUACACAGUAGUCCAUAUAAAUUUCAGAAUGCAAGAAAUUCAUAGGUUGGAAAAGCUAAAAUUAAUAAAGCAAAGCAUGGCAGAGAGCAUAGAUUGAAAAAGACUAAUAAGCAGCAAGAAUACCUAAGGGUGAUAUGAUAGGUAGAAAUAGAGUCAACCUAUACCUGAUGCUUUGAUUCCUUUCAAAAUAAUUUAGUUAGUUGAAAAAGAUGUUGUAAUGUCUUAUGUUGAUGAGUUCAGAUGUUAAUGUGAACCUGCAUGAGCAGAGCAGAUAUGACGAAUCACAUUAAAUUCAUAAAAACAACAGUAUGUUAUUAUUAUUGAAUCUUAUUUGAUGAUUAGAUAAUUUGAUGAAGAAGAUUGUCACACAGAUUAUGCAAAAUAAGAGUUGUAUUCGGAGAUUAUCAAAAAAAUAAAAAAUAAAAUUGUGCGAGCACCACCAGUGGGAUGAAUGAAUGAUUAGAAAAUCUAGUAGUUAUGAAAGCAAAAAUCUGUAAGUCGAAGGUGUAUAAAAUAUGAAGGGAUUUCCUACUCCUAUACCUAAAAAAUUCAUUGCCUUAUAAUAGUGUUGAGAUGAAAAAAGAAAAUCAUACCUUAUAUAUAAACUUAACUAUUACGAAAAGAGGCAUUCAGACUUUAGCUAACCACUUCUGUCAGGCCUUUUCAUUUGUUAGCACAAUUAUUUGAAGUAGUUUUAGAGGCAAGUCGAUCACUCUUAGUUAAUUUGUAUGUCCCACAUCAUACUGUCCACUAAGGAAUUAAGUUAUUAUUUCUAUAGUAGUCACAAUCUUAAAGUCUGAGAGACAUAUAUGGGGUAGGAAAAUCAAUAGAAAAACCUCAUAACUGGAGUAAGUCUUAUAAAAAAAAAUUCCAACAUGGCAAAACCUAUCUCCAUUUGAGAGUUUCUAACACCACAGAUCCCCUUCACCAAUGUCUACUUCUUAACAUAGCAACAUGGAUAAAUNNNNNNNNNNNNNNNNNNNNNNNNNNNNNNNNNNNNNNNNNNNNNNNNNNNNNNNNNNNNNNNNNNNNNNNNNNNNNNNNNNNNNNNNNNNNNNNNNNNNNNNNNNNNNNNNNNNNNNNNNNNNNNNNNNNNNNNNNNNNNNNNNNNNNNNNNNNNNNNNNNNNNNNNNNNNNNNNNNNNNNNNNNNNNNNNNNNNNNNNNNNNNNNNNNNNNNNNNNNNNNNNNNNNNNNNNNNNNNNNNNNNNNNNNNNNNNNNNNNNNNNNNNNNNNNNNNNNNNNNNNNNNNNNNNNNNNNNNNNNNNNNNNNNNNNNNNNNNNNNNNNNNNNNNNNNNNNNNNNNNNNNNNNNNNNNNNNNNNNNNNNNNNNNNNNNNNNNNNNNNNNNNNNNNNNNNNNNNNNNNNNNNNNNNNNNNNNNNNNNNNNNNNNNNNNNNNNNNNNNNNNNNNNNNNNNNNNNNNNNNNNNNNNNNNNNCUGAGAGGUGAGGUCUAAAUCGCAACAUGGAUAAAUGUAAGUCGUAAGGCAUUACUCUUAGAUAUUAAAACUCUAUAAAGAAAGAAAAAAAGGGAUAAAAGAUGUAAAAAGAGUAAAGAAGAAAAAAAAUGAACUUGAUGAGAAAUUUACAGGUUGUUGUUGUUGAUGAUAAUGAUGACAGGAGAGAGAACGCAGAUGACAGAUUGUGAGAUUUGUUGUUAUUAACUAAAAAAUUCACGAUCAAACAACAGUGAUUGUAGUUAAUAGUCUUUAGAGAUUAAAACAGAUGUUAGAAGGAAUAUGAAGAGAAUAAAAAAAUUAAAACCAAUGCUAGUUCAUACCUUAGAUUCGAGAUUGGAGAUUCACAGAGAGAGGAAUUAAGGUUUGGUUGAAGCAAAGCAUUCGUAAAGAGAAAUAAUGGAAUAGGGCUUUCUAGAGGAAAAGAAAUAAUGUUUAGGAAAAAAGAAUAUACACAAUGUAGUUUUAAUAAUAUCCCAACCGUCAGAUCAUAAAUCUGCAUCGUACGGUCUUAGUUGUCUCUAUGUUUGUCUCUGGACAAACUUAUGUACCCGUUGUUGCUUAUAACUUAUGUAUUUUUCAGCCCAUCUACUUCAUGGUAUUUUAUAUAAACUCUUUUCCUCCACCACUCUCCUUGCGUUAGCUGCUAAAUUCCAUAUUCUUUUACUUGAAUACAUGUUAGCUAGAACAGCAUAGUUUCCCGAACUCAUGCUACAUCUAGAUAUACUGAAGAUACAGGUGCAUUAUCAAACCCUCCCACAAACAUUUCUCACGGUUCUAAGUAUAUGUACAAAAUUUACUGUAAUGUGGGAAGUGUGAUAAUUAAAGUUUGAGUAUAAGAGGGUAUUCUGAAUCCAAGGACUAACAAAAACUUACAAAAAAAAUCUAACUAUAGCUUGCAAGCCAACAUUUAAAAUAUCACAGUUCUUGAUUAUAAAAAAUGAUUGAGCUCAUUUUGCAACCUGCAGUCACACCCUUUAUUCUAACUUAUGUUUAUCGUCUUUACAAUCUAACCCUAGGAGUUGGACUGUUGAUUUGAAGGGACAUGCAAUAGUGGGAUUGGAUAUCUGUAAUGCCCAUGGUGCUCAAAUGAUUUCCUAUGUGAAUGAACGAAGUCACAGGAAAAUACUACUUAUCCACCCUACAUAUUUAGCUGCCUGAACAAUUGUAUCAAUGAAUACCAAGAAACAACUGGAAACCUUAAGGAACAAGAUGAGGCUUUUGACAAUAAGUCUUAUACCUCUGUGUAUGCAUUUACAAUAGCAGCAAUGACAAAUUAUGUUUUAUGCGAGGUCUGAUAAAGUGAUGACCCGAAGUACAAAUCUCCCCGACCCUAAAAAUCAACACUUCUCUUUUGAGGAUUUAAGUGAUUUUUUAUAGAUAAAAAUAGUGUUUGCGAGCACCUACUCAUCUUUCAUUACUUUACUAUGACUUCACAUUGUGCAUUUAUAAAUGAGCCAAAGGAUUAUACAAUUCAAGACAGACUUCUCGGUGGAUGUUACACUGAAUAGAAUGGAGCAGUAACCUGGACUUGGUUGGCAAUGACACCAUAGAGUUUGAAGCAAAUGGGAAACUUUUUGAAAAGAACUCUGCUAUCCGACCAUUGCAUGUAGAAAUUCUCACAAAUGCAUUUAGAAUCUCAAGAGAGGAGGCCAGGAGGUUAGAAUACAAUAGACAAUAGAUUGGACUUUUUGCACGAAGGUGUGAGUUCAGAGAAGGGAGUAUGCAAGUGCAUAGACCUCUUCUUGAUGGUGUAGAUCAGUUUGUUAUAGUUUAUGCGAGUAAUAAAGCCUCCAAGGAAUGGUAUAGUUAAAGCCUAUGUACAUGGUUGUAGUCUUAAUAAGUUAAUAAAACUUAUUCUAUUUUCUACUCUCGAAAUAAUGUGAGAUAAAAAUAGUGUUUGCGAAGACCUACUCAUGUUUCAUUACUUCGCUAUGAAUUCACAUUGUGAAUUUAUACAUGGGCCAAAGGAUUGUACAAUUCAAGACAGACUUCUUGGUGGAUGUUUCACUCAAAAAAAUCAAGCAGUAACCUGGACUUGUUUGGCAUUGACACCAGAAAGUUUGAAGCAAAGGGUAAACAUGGAGGUUUUUACUACUAACGCGAUGGACACGGUUUUUGAAUGUGAAGCAGUGAUCAGGGACGGGGGAUUUGCAAUGCUGCUGUAAGUCAAAACUGUGUAACUAUGCAGCAGCAGUACAAAAGCAAAGGAGAGAGCAAGCAGCAACACUGCAGCUGUAUCCCAAACUAAUUCUUCAAAUAACGAAGAUAACACCACUUCACCAAUGAAAAUACACUUGGACCUUCAACUGUUGGAAGACAGUGCUUCAACAAUUGGUCUACCGAACAGCUUUUGACUGUCAAUAGCAUUUAGAUAAUCUAUUUCUAUCUCUAGCACCUAAACCUAAAAUGGACUUCUAAUUCAAAAAUAACUUUAAAUUAUAGAUGUAAUACAAAAAUAACUUCUAAAAUUGGAUAGCUUAAAUUGUUUCUAACUGAUCUAUUGAUAGGUCUUUUCAUGGCAUCUCAGUAUCUCACUCUUAUUGGGUAGCAUAUCUUUGAAUAAAAUUUGAAAUUUUAUGUAUACGAUUAAGAAAAAUUAUAUAUUUAAAAUUUCAAUGUAAUUAAUAAGAUUGAUAGAGUUAUGUUAUUCUGAUGUUAAGAAAAUACUAUUUAUCACCCAGGAAUUGCCUAAAUAUUUCAUCAUACUGUCUGAUCUUAAGAUUGAAUGCACAUACUUUUAUUAACAUUCAAACUGUAUCAUCAUCUUAAAGGAAGGAUUAGUACCUUUAAAACAAGAGGAUUCACAGAAACCUUAAGCUGCUAAAGAGGAUUACCAAAGACCUUAAUUUCUGAUGAUAGGACAAUUAACUUAAAUUUCUACCCAAAGAAAAAAAUCAGCAAACGCCAAACGCGUUGGUAGGUUGAUUUUUGGUAACUACUAUUAGGGGUGGUAGGGUAGGGUAAGUGGUCUCACUGAUGGUGUUCCCCAAACAUUAUUACAACUUGUAAAUUUGGGUUGAAUUUAUUCUGUAUUGGAGUAAAUCAGAAUGGAGAAUAAAAAUCAAAAAUCACUUACCCUUCCUUCUUCAUCAAAACAACAAGCAAUCACUUAAAUAAUCCAACAUAGCAAUAUCAUCAUUAUUAGAAAGGAAAAAGAAAAAAACAGAAAAUUAGAUUACCUUUGAUCACGAAUUACAACUUUAGCUUUAAUUCCUCUACAAAAUCCUCGCAAAUCUGAAACCAAUGUUCAUAUUGAAAUUUUUAGAUAGAAUUUUAUAAACAUUGGGUAUUUGAAUGAUCAUUCUGCCUAGCCAAAAAUCAUUGAUGUUAAUCUUGUUGGUUUUUAUUUUUUUGGCUUCAUUAAUAACACCAGAUAUGUUCAUGAUUUAAUACAUCUCUGUUUAGUUCUUAUCUCUAACAAUAGCUGCAUUUUUUCUCUAGAAUUGUUUUUUAAUAAAUUGUGACUUUUAUGUUUUCGUUACAUAAGCAAAUUUUUUCAUCACCUAUGUAUUGACAUCAGGGGGGCAAGUCUGACUUCUGAACUAAUAAAACUUUUCGCCCGACUCUGCAGUUUCUUCUAUAUAUUUGUUCUCUGCAACAGUUAAUUAUAUUUGUGAUUCUUUUAAUGCACAGUAGAAUGAUAAACCAAAUUUUUAGAUAGAAUUUGAAUUUGAAUUUUUAGUUAUACUAUCAAUUUUUAAGCUUAAAUUGAUAGUAUUAAUUUGAAAUUUUAGGUAUAGUGAUAAACUUACUUUUCUAUUAGUAAAAAAAUCAAAGGGUACCUGAUUUAUUCGAUUGAUGAGUAAAAAAAUCUUCUAUUAACGACGAUAAAGAAAGAGAGUUUAAAGAAAGGGAGAUAUUGAAUAGCCAAUUUUGAUCGGAGGGAGAGAGAUCAAGGUUUGGAAAAGAUGUUGUCCGAGAGAGAUUGACGAAAGAGAUUGAAUAACCAAUUUUGAUAAAAAAAAAAAAAAAAAAAAAAAAAAACCACUGUGUAACUUAGGCCCAACCGUAACUUAAGCCCAACAGACGAAUGAAACUUAAACCCACGUUUAUAACUUAUAUAAGUUAUAAAGAUACACUGUGAUCGAGGUAAUUCAAGGGUUCGGAUCUGAUUUCGACUCCCAACUUAAAAUCUGAUCCGUCCACUGUCAAAUUUUAUAUAAGUUUGUCUCCGAAACUUGAGAUUGCCUCAGAAAUUCAACAAGUUGAAUUAUAAAUUCUAACUUGAAUCAUGUGCAUAAGUUUGUAAGUGUAUCCAACAAGUCCAUGUGUGUCCGACACAAAUUUUUUUGACUACACGGAGUGUCCAUGUUACAUAGCUAUUAGGACUUUUUACUUAUUUGUAAUGAUCUACUACUUUGUUAAUUGGUAAAAUGGGAUGGAAGUUAAUUGAAUGAUUAUAUAUGUAUGAUAAUGGUGCUUUUGAUUGUUUAGUCAAUUUAGAAUUGUUUAUAAUUGAUUAUGAUGGUGCUGGUAAAGACGGACAAGAUUAUGAAAACGAAGACAAGGAGGUCAUAGUUCAAGUUAAAUAGGGUGGAGACUAUUGUUCAGACGAUGUUUGCGAUCACUGAUUACCUAAUGCUCAAAUUUAGUGAUAUUAUGCGGUCAUUAUACGGUUUGUACUUUUAUUAAUUAUAGAUAGAAAUCUACUUCUACCUAUAAACUCCAUUAGAAAGAGAGUCGAGGAGGACGUACAAACUCCAAAUUUAUUUUGGGGUGUUUGUACUUUUCUCUCUUCUAUUUGAUCGAUAUUUCUGUACCUUCAUUUGGCAUAGCAUAUUACCAACGGACUAUACCAACGAUAAUGCAACAGGAAACCCUUACCCUCCACCGACGCAUCCUGGCUAUGGCCAACCUACACAGUCUGCAGGCUAUGGUCAGCCUAUGCAACCUGGUCAUAACCUGUCCAAACCAUCGUUUUGCAGACACAUUCUCCUGCUUUGACAUUCUCCUGCUUUAGUCAGACCGUCCCAUUUGUGUGGACUCGUUGAUCACUCACCAUUUAUGAGAUGUGUUGAAUUCUGUUAAUGGGAGUCCUUUUAAAAUAAUUUUGUUAAAGAAUUAUUAUUUUUAAAUAAUCAUAAUUUAAAAAUAUGCUAUCCUCAGCUCUUUUUUUUAGAAGUAGACACACACUAUAUGUUCCUGAACAUACAGUCUGCACCAUAAUUCUACUCCUAAUUUUUCUAAUCAAACCAAUUUUUGAAUUUGUGUUCCUGAACAUAUAGAUCUAUGGCUUAGAUUUAGGUCUCUUUCUAUCCUUCACUCCAUCUCUCACCCUCAUCUCUCCAUGAUUUUUCUUCUUCUGAUGUUCUCUGCUUCCCUGCUUCUCUGGUUCAAGCAAUAAUUGAUACUCCUACUAUGUUUUUUUUUAGUGUUUUCUUCAGGAGUAGGUAUUUGCACAGUAAUUUUAAUCCUUCUCUACGUAAUCAAGAAUAAACAAAAUUGUAGGCGAACAUGCUGUUAUUGAAUUGAAUCAAGAAUAAAAAAAAAUAUCAAAUAAAAGCAAUUGCUAGAUAACAAAAGUAUUGAAGAUUAAGAGUUAAAAAAUUACCCCAACUCUUUGAUAUUGCAACUAAACCUCUGAAUCAAAUACUUGCAGAUUGUGAUAUUGCAACUAAACCUUUGAAUCAACUUCUCAAAGGGUACCUGAUUUAUUCGAUUGAUGAGUAAAAAAAUCUUCUAAAUCUUCUAUUAACGGUGAUAAAGAAAGAGAGUUUAAAGAAAGGGAGAGAUUGAAUAGCCAAUUUUGGUCAAAACUGUAACAGUUGAAAUAAAAUUCGAAGUUGAAGAAGAGUUUGGAGUGAAAAGAAGUUACUAAUUAGAAAAGGUAUUUCAAUUGAAGAAGAAGAAGAGAUUGAUCAAUUACCUGAGAUAGAGCAAAGCAUCUUGUCGAACGUUAAAACUUAAAACUACUACUUCUUCUUCUUCUUCUUCUUCUGCUUCUUCGCCCUUUGCUUUUCUCCCUCUUCUCAAAGUUUUCCCCUUUCUCUUGGUUUCGUUUGUAUAUAUAAAAAGACACAAGAUUUCAAUUUUGGAAGAAAAACUAAAGAGAUUGAAUACUAAAUUUUGAUAAAUAAAAAGCCCACCGUGUAACUU